GCCGGGGCGGGGCCGCGCCGGGCGGGCGCGCGGGAGCUGCGGAGGGAGGGUGUCGCGCCGAGGGAAGCGGCCCGCGGCGGAGGGAGGGAAGGCCGAGUCCUGGAAGCGGAGCUCCGCGCUGGGACUGGUUCCUUCGCAGCCAUUUUCUGUCCAACCAAACAGCCGAUUGGAGACGGGAGCCAACCAGGGCUGCAUUGGAGGUUGAAAUUGGCAAAGAUCAGACACCUUUUUAGACAGGUGUUCUGGAGUAGCACUGACAACACGGUUCACCCAGUAUUUCAUGACAAUGGACGGUGACAGUUCUACAACAGAUGCUUCUCAACUCGGAAUUUCUGCAGACUAUAUUGGAGGAAGUCAUUAUGUCAUACAGCCUCAUGAUG
RNAcentral lists this long non-coding RNA (380 nucleotides) under Sus scrofa (pig). RNAcentral's name for it is "lncRNA (ENSSSCG00065024989.1)". The record is from RNAcentral. Lineage: Eukaryota; Metazoa; Chordata; Mammalia; Artiodactyla; Suidae.